UUAAGUGAAUAAGGGCGCACGGUGGAUGCCUUGGCACUAGGAGCCGAUGAAGGACGGGACUAACACCGAUAUGCUUUGGGGAGCUGUACGUAAGCUAUGAUCCAGAGAUUUCCGAAUGGGGGAACCCAACAUCUUUAAUAGGAUGUUACGAUUGUGUGAAUACAUAGCACAUUCGAGGUAGACGCAGAGAACUGAAACAUCUAAGUACCUGCAGGAAGAGAAAGAAAAUUCGAUUCCCUGAGUAGCGGCGAGCGAAACGGGAAAAGCCCAAACCAGCAAGCUUGCUUGUUGGGGUUGUAGGACUCCAAUAUGGUAGUUCUUUCAGAUAGUCGAAUGACUUGGAAAAGUCAGUCAAAGAGGGUAAAAACCCCGUAGACGAAAUGUGGAAGACACCUAGGAGGAUCCUGAGUACGGCGGAACACGAGAAAUUCCGUCGGAAUCCGGGAGGACCAUCUCCCAAGGCUAAAUACUCCCUAGUGACCGAUAGUGAACCAGUACCGUGAGGGAAAGGUGAAAAGCACCCCGGAAGGGGAGUGAAAUAGAACCUGAAACCGUGUGCCUACAACAAGUCAAAGCCCGUUAAUGGGUGAUGGCGUGCCUUUUGUAGAAUGAACCGGCGAGUUACGAUUGCAUGCGAGGUUAAGUUGAAGAGACGGAGCCGCAGCGAAAGCGAGUCUGAAUAGGGCGUUUGAGUAUGUAGUCGUAGACCCGAAACCAUGUGAUCUACCCAUGUCCAGGUUGAAGGUGCGGUAAAACGCACUGGAGGACCGAACCCACGUACGUUGAAAAGUGCGGGGAUGAGGUGUGGGUAGCGGAGAAAUUCCAAACGAACUUGGAGAUAGCUGGUUCUCUCCGAAAUAGCUUUAGGGCUAGCCUCGGAAUUGAGAAUGAUGGAGGUAGAGCACUGUUUGGACUAGGGGCCCAUCUCGGGUUACCGAAUUCAGAUAAACUCCGAAUGCCAUUCAUUCAUAUCCGGGAGUCAGACUGUGAGUGAUAAGAUCCAUAGUCGAAAGGGAAACAGCCCAGACCACCAGCUAAGGUCCCAAAAUAUAUGUUAAGUGGAAAAGGAUGUGGGGUUGCACAGACAACUAGGAUGUUGGCUUAGAAGCAGCCACCAUUUAAAGAGUGCGUAAUAGCUCACUAGUCGAGUGACCCUGCGCCGAAAAUGUACCGGGGCUAAACAUAUUACCGAAGCUGUGGAGUACACCUUUAGGUGUAUUGGUAGGAGAGCGUUCUAAGGGCGUUGAAGGCAGAUCGUGAGGACUGCUGGAGCGCUUAGAAGUGAGAAUGCCGGUAUGAGUAGCGAAAGACAGGUGAGAAUCCUGUCCACCGAAUGACUAAGGUUUCCUGGGGAAGGCUCGUCCGCCCAGGGUUAGUCGGGACCUAAGCCGAGGCCGACAGGCGUAGGCGAUGGAUAACAGGUUGAUAUUCCUGUACCCGUUGUUUUUGUUUGAGCAAUGGAGGGACGCAGGAGGCUAAGGAAUGCAGACGAUCGGAAAUGUCUGUCCAAGCAGUAAGUCUGAAGAGGAGUCAAAUGCUUCUUUUCUUAAGGACAAGCUGUGAUGGGGAGGGAAAUAAUAGUACCGAAGUUCCUGAUGUCACACUGCCGAGAAAAGCUUCUAGUGAGAAAACAGCGGCCCGUACCGCAAACCGACACAGGUAGUCGAGGAGAGAAUCCUAAGGUGAGCGAGAGAACUCUCGUUAAGGAACUCGGCAAAAUGACCCCGUAACUUCGGGAGAAGGGGUGCUGAUCAUACGAUCAGCCGCAGUGAAUAGGCCCAAGCGACUGUUUAUCAAAAACACAGGUCUCUGCAAAAUCGUAAGAUGAAGUAUAGGGGCUGACGCCUGCCCGGUGCUGGAAGGUUAAGAGGAGUGCUUAGCGCAAGCGAAGGUACGAAUUGAAGCCCCAGUAAACGGCGGCCGUAACUAUAACGGUCCUAAGGUAGCGAAAUUCCUUGUCGGGUAAGUUCCGACCCGCACGAAAGGCGUAACGAUUUGGGCACUGUCUCAACGAGAGACUCGGUGAAAUUUAGUACCUGUGAAGAUGCAGGUUCCCGCGACAGGACGGAAAGACCCCAUGGAGCUUUACUGUAGUUUGAUAUUGAGUGUCUGUACCGCAUGUACAGGAUAGGUAGGAGCCGUAGAAAUCGGAACGCUAGUUUCGAUGGAGGCGCUGGUGGGAUACUACCCCUGCGUUAUGGCCACUCUAACCCGCACCACUAAUCGUGGUGGGAGACAGUGUCAGAUGGGCAGUUUGACUGGGGCGGUCGCCUCCUAAAAGGUAACGGAGGCGCCCAAAGGUUCCCUCAGAAUGGUUGGAAAUCAUUCGAAGAGUGUAAAGGCAGAAGGGAGCUGACUGCGAGACCAACAAGUCGAGCAGGGACGAAAGUCGGGCUUAGUGAUCCGGUGGUUCCGCAUGGAAGGGCCAUCGCUCAACGGAUAAAAGCUACCCUGGGGAUAACAGGCUUAUCUCCCCCAAGAGUCCACAUCGACGGGGAGGUUUGGCACCUCGAUGUCGGCUCGUCGCAUCCUGGGGCUGUAGUCGGUCCCAAGGGUUGGGCUGUUCGCCCAUUAAAGCGGCACGCGAGCUGGUUCAGAACGUCGUGAGACAGUUCGGUCCCUAUCCGUCGCGGGCGUUGGAAAUUUGAGAGGAGCUGUCCUUAGUACGAGAGGACCGGGAUGGACUUACCGCUGGUGUACCAGUUGUUCUGCCAAGGGCAUUGCUGGGUAGCUAUGUAGGGAAGGGAUAAACGCUGAAAGCAUCUAAGUGUGAAGCCCACCUCAAGAUGAGAUUUCCCAUUUCUUUAAGAAAGUAAGAUCCCUGAGAGAUGAUCAGGUAGAUAGGUCAGGAGUGGAAGUACAGUGAUGUAUGGAGCGGACUGAUACUAAUCGAUCGAGGACUUAACCAA
Molecule: ribosomal RNA, 2909 nt
Filed under: Enterococcus faecium Aus0085
Lineage: Bacteria; Bacillati; Bacillota; Bacilli; Lactobacillales; Enterococcaceae
Description: bacterial LSU rRNA
Rfam family: Bacterial large subunit ribosomal RNA
Source: RNAcentral